Molecule: ribosomal RNA, 254 nt
Filed under: uncultured bacterium
Lineage: Bacteria
Description: partial 16S ribosomal RNA
Rfam family: Bacterial small subunit ribosomal RNA
Source: RNAcentral
GACGUAGGGCGCGAGCGUUGUCCGGAUUUAUUGGGCGUAAAGAGCUCGUAGGCGGUUCAGCAAGUCGGGUGUGAAAACUCUGGGCUCAACCCAGAGACGCCACCCGAUACUGCUGUGACUAGAGUCCGGUAGGGGAGUGGGGAAUUCCUGGUGUAGCGGUGAAAUGCACAGAUAUCAGGAGGAACACCGGUGGCGAAGGCGCCACUCUGGGCCGGCACUGACGCUGAGGAGCGAAAGCGUGGGUAGCAAACAGG